This 60-nucleotide ribosomal RNA is filed under the name Diplopathes multipinnata. Its description in RNAcentral is "partial 5.8S ribosomal RNA". It matches the Rfam family "5.8S ribosomal RNA", at positions 98 to 154 of the family's 154-position model. From Rfam's summary of the family: 5.8S ribosomal RNA (5.8S rRNA) is a component of the large subunit of the eukaryotic ribosome. It is transcribed by RNA polymerase I as part of the 45S precursor that also contains 18S and 28S rRNA. Functionally, it is thought that 5.8S rRNA may be involved in ribosome translocation. Lineage: Eukaryota; Metazoa; Cnidaria; Anthozoa; Antipatharia; Schizopathidae. The record is from RNAcentral.
CUUUGAACGCAAAUGGCGCUCUUGGGUUCUCCCAGGAGCAUGUCUGUCUGAGUGUCGGUU